UCGUACUCAUAACCGCAUCAGG
RNAcentral lists this non-coding RNA (22 nucleotides) under Arabidopsis thaliana (thale cress). Lineage: Eukaryota; Viridiplantae; Streptophyta; Magnoliopsida; Brassicales; Brassicaceae. The record is from RNAcentral.